Ostrinia nubilalis (European corn borer) is the source of this 2241-nucleotide long non-coding RNA. RefSeq lists it as uncharacterized. Lineage: Eukaryota; Metazoa; Arthropoda; Insecta; Lepidoptera; Crambidae. The record is from RefSeq and is a predicted model, not a curated record. The transcript is spliced from 2 exons.
UUCAUUCUAUUUUUCCUAAAUCCAAAUUAACUGAUAUUAGGGCAGUAAUAUUAUAAAUAAUAGGAACAUUCAACAGGUUAUUGGCCAUUAUUGUUCCUCAGAUAAUAAAAUUAGUGUCUUACCGAAACAGUUCCGUGAUUCAAUUGGAUAAAGUUUACCGAACGUCAACAGUGCAACCGCGCCGCGUAGGAUUUCUACUUUUUCAGCUUUUUCAGCACAAUCAAAAAUCAUGGCCUCACAAAUUUCUAUCGGAACUAUAGAAAAGCUGAUGGGCCGAGAAAAUUACCCUACGUGGAAAUUUGCAAUAAAAAACUACUUGGAACAUGAGGACCUAUGGGAAACAAUAGAACCGGGUGCCGACUAUAAAUAUGACAGUAAGAAGGAUGUAAGAGCCAGGUCCAAAAUAAUCCUUUUGAUAGACCCUAUCAACUAUGUCCAUGUGCAGGAGGCAACUACAGCAAAGCAGAGUCCUUGGAUAAAACUAGAUGGUACAUCGACUCGGGAGCAUCGCAGCAUAUGUGCAGAGAGAGAAAAUGAAUGUAUGAUGUGUCUCCUUCAACAGUAAGCAGUAUAAAGGUAGCAGAUAAUAAAACCGUGGCAGUAGAAGGGUGUGGUAGUGUGAAUUUGCAGAUAAGGGACUCCAAAGGCAGACCUCAAACAAUUCAAGUAAGAAAUGUGCUGUAUGUACCUUCCUUGACAACCAAUCUUCUCUCUGUAAGUCAGAUGACAAAAAAUGGAUGUGAAGUUAUAUUUGAGAAAAAAUAUUGCAGAAUUUACCAAAAUAAGAGAUUGAUUUUGUCAGCUUUACAACAUAACAAUAUGUAUAUGUUGAAAGAUAUUUCAGAAACAUCUGCAUUAUUGUCAACAGUAAAUGAGAAUGAUAUUAAUUUGUGGCAUCAGAGGAUGGGCCAUCUCAACUUCACUGACUUACAGAAAAUGGGAACGUGUACUGAAGGAGUAGAAUUUGAUAAAAAAGAUUCUCAGAUUUGCACAACAUGUAUUGAAGGUAAAAUGACUAGACUGCCUUUUAAGAAUAUUGGUACUAGAGCAUGUGAACCUCUCCAAUUAAUCCACACUGACCUUUGUGGCCCGAUGGAGACCAGCUCUUUAGGAGGGGCCAAGUACUAUGUCUCCUUUAUAGAUGACUAUAGUAGAAAAGUAUAUGUCUAUUUUAUGAAAAACAAAUCUGAUACAUUAGAGAAGUUUAAGCAAUUCAAGAACUUAGUAGAAAAUGAGACUGAUAAAAGAAUAAAAGUAUUAAGAUCAGACAACGGCAAAGAAUAUAUAAACAAAGAAUUUGAAUUGUUUUUAGAGAAAUUUAGCAUUCAACAUCAGACCACCAAUCCGUACACUCCGGAACAGAACGGAUUAGCGGAGCGAAUGAAUCGCACCCUUGUAGAAAGAGCUAAAUGUUUGAUCCUGAAUUCCAGAUUGGAGAAAUCAUUUUGGGCGGAAGCAGUGUCUACAGCUGCUUACUUAAUAAAUCGAUCACCAACCAAGGCCCUGGACUACAUGACGCCAUAUGAAAAGUGGUCUGGUAAGAAGCCAAACAUUAGUAAUUUGAGAAUUUUUGGAUGUGAUGCCAUGGUACAUGUGCCUAAAGAAAAAAGGCAAAAAUGGGAUUCCAAGGCUAUCAGAAUGCUGUUCGUUGGCUAUUGUGAGUACACAAAAGGAUACAGAUUUUAUGACAAUGAUAAGAAACAAAUAUAUAUAGCCUGACCAGGAACAUAAAAACCCUCGCCAUGUUGCGGAAAAUUAAUGGUACUAAUUUAUUUUAAUGGCAACAGUAACUGAAAACUUCAUUGAUAUGUCACCUUGCAUGUCAGUCUAUUGCUGUCAAAGUGUAAACAAACUUUAUUUUAAAUGUGCGCAAUUGAUUUUGUGAAUUAAAUUGCUAAAAUAUUUUUAUAGUCGUGAAAGAAAAGUGGUUCACAAUGUGUUAAAGUAUUUGUCGAAGAGAAAUACUAAGGGUUCGGACAAUAUUUUCAUUGAAUAAUGUUUCCGACAAAGGUUGUCAAAUUGACUGACAUGUUUAUCGUAUAGUACAGUCAACUAUGAAAAUUAGCUGUGGUUUGUUUCAACUACCUAUUUUAAAGUUUUUUGUCACUUUGUAAGUAUUGAAUUUUAUGGAAUUGGGAAAGAAGUACCGAGUUUGAAGCGUUCAUGAGCAGACAUUGUAGUUGAAUAUUCAAGUUCAGAAUUUGAUUAUUGAUGAAUAAUAAUAAAAUCCUACUUGCUCGA